RNAcentral lists this ribosomal RNA (291 nucleotides) under uncultured bacterium. RNAcentral describes it as "partial 16S ribosomal RNA". It matches the Rfam family "Bacterial small subunit ribosomal RNA", at positions 505 to 796 of the family's 1533-position model. The record is from RNAcentral.
GUUCCCUCUCCUCUUUCCUCCUUCUGGUUCCCGCGUUGUCCGGAAUCACUGGGCGUAAAGGGUGCGCAGGCGGGGCAGCAAGUCGGAGGUGAAAGCCCAUGGCUCAACCAUGGAAGUGCCUUCGAAACUGUUGCUCUUGAGUCCCGGAGAGGCUGUCGGAAUUCGUGGUGUAGCGGUGAAAUGCGUAGAUAUCACGAGGAACACCAGAGGCGAAAGCGGACAGCUGGACGGGUACUGACGCUCAGGCACGAAAGCGGGGGGAGCAAACAGGAUUAGAAACCCCGGUAGUCC